RNAcentral lists this ribosomal RNA (505 nucleotides) under uncultured bacterium. Its description in RNAcentral is "partial 16S ribosomal RNA". It matches the Rfam family "Bacterial small subunit ribosomal RNA", at positions 29 to 523 of the family's 1533-position model. The record is from RNAcentral.
AGUGAACGCUGGCGGUAGGCCUAACACAUGCAAGUCGAACGGCAGCACAGGAGAGCUUGCUCUCUGGGUGGCGAGUGGCGGACGGGUGAGGAAUACAUCGGAAUCUACUCUGUCGUGGGGGAUAACGUAGGGAAACUUACGCUAAUACCGCAUACGACCUACGGGUGAAAGCAGGGGAUCUUCGGACCUUGCGCGAUUGAAUGAGCCGAUGUCGGAUUAGCUAGUUGGCGGGGUAAAGGCCCACCAAGGCGGCGAUCCGUAGCUGGUCUGAGGGAAGGAACGGCGACAAUGGAACUAAGACAGGGUCCAGAAUCCGACGGGCGGCAGCGAUGGGGAAUAUGGGACAAUGGGCGCAAGCCUGAUCCAGCCAUACCGCGUGGGUGAAGAAGGCCUUCGGGUUGAAAAGCCUUUUGUUGGGAAAGAAAUCCAGCUGGCUAAUACCCGGUUGGGAUGACGGUACCCAAAGCAUAAGCACCGGCUAACUUCGUGCCAGCAGCCGCGGUAA